AUUGAACGCUGGCGGAAUGCUUUACACAUGCAAGUCGAACGGCAGCAUAGGUGCUUGCACCUGAUGGCGAGUGGCGAACGGGUGAGUAAUAUAUCGGAACGUGCCCAGUCGUGGGGGAUAACGUAGCGAAAGCUACGCUAAUACCGCAUACGAUCUAUGGAUGAAAGCGGGGGACCUUCGGGCCUCGCGCGAUUGGAGCGGCCGAUAUCAGAUUAGGUAGUUGGUGAGGUAAAGGCUCACCAAGCCGACGAUCUGUAGCUGGUCUGAGAGGACGACCAGCCACACUGGGACUGAGACACGGCCCAGACUCCUACGGGAGGCAGCAGUGGGGAAUUUUGGACAAUGGACGCAAGUCUGAUCCAGCCAUUCCGCGUGCAGGACGAAGGCCUUCGGGUUGUAAACUGCUUUUGUACGGAACGAAAAGACUCUUUCUAAUAAAGAGGGUCCAUGACGGUACCGUAAGAAUAAGCACCGGCUAACUACGUGCCAGCCGCCGCUGUAA
Molecule: ribosomal RNA, 502 nt
Filed under: uncultured bacterium
Lineage: Bacteria
Description: partial 16S ribosomal RNA
Rfam family: Bacterial small subunit ribosomal RNA
Source: RNAcentral